GCGUGAGUGAUGAAGGCCCUAGGGUUGUAAAGCUCUUUCGGCGGGGACGAUAAUGACGGUACCCGCAGAAGAAGCCCCGGCUAACUUCGUGCCAGCAGCCGCGGUAAUACGAAGGGGGCUAGCGUUGUUCGGAAUUACUGGGCGUAAAGCGCACGUAGGCGGGUCGUUAAGUCAGGGGUGAAAUCCCGAGGCUCAACCUCGGAACUGCCCUUGAUACUGGCGACCUUCGAGUCCGGGAGAGGUGAGUGGAACUCCGAGUGUAGAGGUGAAAUUCGU
This 276-nucleotide ribosomal RNA is filed under the name uncultured bacterium. RNAcentral's name for it is "partial 16S ribosomal RNA". It matches the Rfam family "Bacterial small subunit ribosomal RNA", at positions 399 to 691 of the family's 1533-position model. The record is from RNAcentral.